Molecule: unclassified non-coding RNA, 369 nt
Filed under: Rhodocollybia sp.
Lineage: Eukaryota; Fungi; Basidiomycota; Agaricomycetes; Agaricales; Omphalotaceae
Also listed under: 2 other names
Description: partial contains 5.8S ribosomal RNA, internal transcribed spacer 2, and large subunit ribosomal RNA
Rfam family: 5.8S ribosomal RNA (bases 1-52)
Source: RNAcentral
AACGCACCUUGCGCCCUCUGGUAUUCCGGAGGGCAUGCCUGUUUGAGUGUCAUUAAAUUCUCAACUUCAAAAGUUUUUAUUAACUUAUUGAAGCUUGGAUGUGGGGGUUUGUUGGCGUCUUUAGAUGUUCAGCUCCCCUUAAAUGCAUUAGUGGAAUUCCCGUUUGGUUGGUCCAUCUUGGUGUGAUAAUUAUCUACGCUUUGCUUGGUUCAACUGUCAGGUGUGCUUAGGCUAGAUCCUGGUUGUGAUAUCGCAUUAAGUUGCUUUAUCUGAUUGUGGGAAAUUUAUCUGCUUUCUAACCGUCUGUUGUUUCAGACAAUUUAUUGACUAUUUGACCUCAAAUCAGGUAGGACUACCCGCUGAACUUAA